This 318-nucleotide long non-coding RNA is filed under the name Nicotiana benthamiana. Its description in RNAcentral is "long non-coding RNA (NBEN_LNC009268)". Lineage: Eukaryota; Viridiplantae; Streptophyta; Magnoliopsida; Solanales; Solanaceae. The record is from RNAcentral.
CCGAUCAAAGCUUGUCCUUUAAUUCCAAGGAUUUUUGGCAGUAGGUUCCUCAAGGUUGAUAACUCCAUCUUGUUUGAAGAUAGUUUCACCACAAUAGCUUGAUGCAGUCUGUCCUUUAAUUCCAAGGAUUUUUGGCAGUAGGUUCCUCAAGGUUGAUAACUCCAUCUUGUUUGAAGAUAGUUUCACCAUAGUAGUUUGAUGCAGUCCCUCCUCUUUUGCAUAAUCUAGUCGUUCUUCCUUUGUAAAUUGAAUAGUUGGUACUCCAUGUAUAACUUCAACUUGUUUUAUAUUUGUUUGGUUCGAAAAAAAUGAAACGGG